Molecule: ribosomal RNA, 527 nt
Filed under: Vibrio sp. OT445
Lineage: Bacteria; Pseudomonadati; Pseudomonadota; Gammaproteobacteria; Vibrionales; Vibrionaceae
Description: bacterial SSU rRNA
Rfam family: Bacterial small subunit ribosomal RNA
Source: RNAcentral
CAGGCCUAACACAUGCAAGUCGAGCGGAAACGAGUUAUCUGAACCUUCGGGGAACGAUAACGGCGUCGAGCGGCGGACGGGUGAGUAAUGCCUAGGAAAUUGCCUUGAUGUGGGGGAUAACCAUUGGAAACGAUGGCUAAUACCGCAUAAUGCCUACGGGCCAAAGAGGGGGACCUUCGGGCCUCUCGCGUCAAGAUAUGCCUAGGUGGGAUUAGCUAGUUGGUGAGGUAAUGGCUCACCAAGGCGACGAUCCCUAGCUGGUCUGAGAGGAUGAUCAGCCACACUGGAACUGAGACACGGUCCAGACUCCUACGGGAGGCAGCAGUGGGGAAUAUUGCACAAUGGGCGAAAGCCUGAUGCAGCCAUGCCGCGUGUAUGAAGAAGGCCUUCGGGUUGUAAAGUACUUUCAGUUGUGAGGAAGGGGGUGUCGUUAAUAGCGGCAUCUCUUGACGUUAGCAACAGAAGAAGCACCGGCUAACUCCGUGCCAGCAGCCGCGGUAAUACGGAGGGUGCGAGCGUUAAUCGGA